RNAcentral lists this ribosomal RNA (916 nucleotides) under uncultured bacterium. Its description in RNAcentral is "bacterial SSU rRNA". It matches the Rfam family "Bacterial small subunit ribosomal RNA", at positions 33 to 933 of the family's 1533-position model. The record is from RNAcentral.
ACGCUGGCGGCGUGCCUAAUACAUGCAAGUAGAACGCUGAAGGAGGAGCUUGCUUCUCUGGAUGAGUUGCGAACGGGUGAGUAACGCGUAGGUAACCUGCCUGGUAGCGGGGGAUAACUAUUGGAAACGAUAGCUAAUACCGCAUAAGAGUAGAUGUUGCAUGACAUUUGCUUAAAAGGUGCAAUUGCAUCACUACCAGAUGGACCUGCGUUGUAUUAGCUAGUUGGUGGGGUAACGGCUCACCAAGGCGACGAUACAUAGCCGACCUGAGAGGGUGAUCGGCCACACUGGGACUGAGACACGGCCCAGACUCCUACGGGAGGCAGCAGUAGGGAAUCUUCGGCAAUGGACGGAAGUCUGACCGAGCAACGCCGCGUGAGUGAAGAAGGUUUUCGGAUCGUAAAGCUCUGUUGUAAGAGAAGAACGAGUGUGAGAGUGGAAAGUUCACACUGUGACGGUAUCUUACCAGAAAGGGACGGCUAACUACGUGCCAGCAGCCGCGGUAAUACGUAGGUCCCGAGCGUUGUCCGGAUUUAUUGGGCGUAAAGCGAGCGCAGGCGGUUAGAUAAGUCUGAAGUUAAAGGCUGUGGCUUAACCAUAGUACGCUUUGGAAACUGUUUAACUUGAGUGCAAGAGGGGAGAGUGGAAUUCCAUGUGUAGCGGUGAAAUGCGUAGAUAUAUGGAGGAACACCGGUGGCGAAAGCGGCUCUCUGGCUUGUAACUGACGCUGAGGCUCGAAAGCGUGGGGAGCAAACAGGACUAGAUACCCUGGUAGUCCACGCCGUAAACGAUGAGUGCUAGGUGUUAGACCCUUUCCGGGGUUUAGUGCCGUAGCUAACGCAUUAAGCACUCCGCCUGGGGAGUACGACCGCAAGGUUGAAACUCAAAGGAAUUGACGGGGGCCCGCACAAGCGGU